GACCGCUCAGGUGGCCUAAUUGGUUAGAGCGCCCGCCUCGGAUGCAGGAGGUCGUGGGUUCGAACUCCGACCGAGUCA
This is a non-coding RNA of Potamilus streckersoni, 78 nucleotides long. Lineage: Eukaryota; Metazoa; Mollusca; Bivalvia; Unionida; Unionidae. The record is from the annotation of a GenBank genome assembly.